AACGAACGCUGGCGGCGUGCUUAACACAUGCAAAUCGAACGAGAAAAUGUAGCAAUACAUGAGUAAAGUGGCGCACGGGUCCGUAACACGUGGGUAAUCUACCCUUAGGCGAGGGACAACCUGUCGAAAGACGGGCUAAUACCUCGUAAGACCACGGAAUCUUAGGAUUCUGAGGUAAAAGGUGGCCUCUAUUUAUAAGCUAUCACCUGAGGAUGAGCCUGCGCACCAUCAGCUUGUUGGUGAGGUAAAAGCUCACCAAGGCCCAGACGGUUAGCUGGUCUGAGAGGACGACCAGCGACACUGGAACUGAGACACGGUCCAGACUCCUACGGGAGGCAGCAGUGGGGAAUUUUGGACAAUGGGCGAAAGCCUGAUCCAGCAACGCCGCGUGAGUGAUGAAGGCCUUCGGGUUGUAAAGCUCUGUCGGAGGGAACGAAUAAAGGCCACCUAAUACGUGGCCAUAUGACGGUACUCUCAAAGGAAGCAACGGCUAACUCUGUGCCAGCCGCCGCGGUAA
Molecule: ribosomal RNA, 517 nt
Filed under: uncultured bacterium
Lineage: Bacteria
Description: partial 16S ribosomal RNA
Rfam family: Bacterial small subunit ribosomal RNA
Source: RNAcentral